Ictidomys tridecemlineatus (thirteen-lined ground squirrel) is the source of this 1210-nucleotide non-coding RNA. The record is from RefSeq and is a predicted model, not a curated record. Lineage: Eukaryota; Metazoa; Chordata; Mammalia; Rodentia; Sciuridae.
ACUCGGGAGCCCGGGACGGACGCGCACGGCUGCGGAGCGCCUUCCUGCAGGUCGGGGCCGUGGGGGGUCUGACGGCAGACUGCUGGCUACGGCACGUGACCGGCGCUGCGAGGGAAUCGAGGUUCCGCGUUCGGGAAGAGUCUGCGGAGCUCGGGUUGCGUGACCCGUUUCGGUUCUCGGCGGACACAACAUCUUUGUUGGUAUGUGGUGCUGAGGAUCGAACCCCGGCCGCACGCAUGCCAGAUCUUCACAGGAACAGUAGAAAAGUGAUACUGUUGUUAUUGAGGCCUGCAUUUUAUAAAUGAAGAGACUACAGGAGACCUGAGUGACUUGCCAAGGUCACCUGCCAAUGAGGAAUGCUGCCAGGAUUUGAACCCAGACAUCCAGGUGCAGAGAUUACCCCAUGCCAUCAUGUCUCUUAGGAAAUGCUCUGGAAAUGCUGCUGUCAUGAAUGAGGCAGGUCAAUGCCUGGUGCACAGAGUAAAUGAAAAUACUCCAAAAGCUGUGGACCUGCGAUGGUCGUCCCAUCUCUCCAGCUCUUCCACUCUCACCUUGCUUCCAAUCUGCUGAUUUGAGCUAAGCUUCACAAAGUGUUGUCUCUUGAACACCAAAAGUGCAUAGACAUUGUCUGGAAGGUACAUACGCAGAUAGAUUCACUCAGCACAAAUUUCUCUAGUACCUACUGAGGGCUCAACCUGAGCAGUGGAUAUUGAAAUUCCUGACAGCACCCAUUCAGUGGAGACUCCAUAUUUGUCCCCUGAACUGCUGGCAGCCAUUGGGAAGGGUGCUCAAAAAUAAUCUGCCACUUCUCUUACUACACUUUUCAUCUGUUCAUUCUUCUAACAAAUAAUGUUUAAGGUACUCUAUUCCAUGUAGUGUGUGCUAGGCAACACAGCAUCUAGUAAGACGCAUGACUUCUGGUUACUAGUCUUGAUAUAUAUUCCAGUUGAAUAAGAAACUAAGUGGAUAAAUAGUUCUGGAGAGUGACAAGUACCAAGAGAAAGAGAGGACUGGGGAUGUGGCUCAAGUGGUAGGGCGCUUGUCUAGCAUGUGUGAGGCACAGGGUUUGAUUCUCAGCAUCACAUAAAAAUAAAAUAAAGAUAUUGGGUCCACCUAAAACUAAAAAAUAAAUACUAAAAAAAAAAAAGAGGAAGAAAAACAGGAUGAUAUAACACAGUGACUUGGAGAUUACUGGUGAUAAGAGAAGAAC